This 385-nucleotide ribosomal RNA is filed under the name uncultured bacterium. RNAcentral's name for it is "bacterial SSU rRNA". It matches the Rfam family "Bacterial small subunit ribosomal RNA", at positions 28 to 407 of the family's 1533-position model. The record is from RNAcentral.
GACGAACGCUGGCGGCGUGCCUAAUACAUGCAAGUUGAGCGCUGAAGGUUGGUACUUGUACCGACUGGAUGAGCAGCGAACGGGUGAGUAACGCGUGGGGAAUCUGCCUUUGAGCGGGGGACAACAUUUGGAACGAAUGCUAAUACCGCAUAAAACUUUAAACACAAGUUUAAGUUUGAAAGAUGCAAUUGCAUCACUCAAAGAUGAUCCCGCGUUGUAUUAGCUAGUUGGUGAGGUAAAGGCUCACCAAGGCGAUGAUACAUAGCCGACCUGAGAGGGUGAUCGGCCACAUUGGGACUGAGACACGGCCCAAACUCCUACGGAGGCAGCAGUAGGGAAUCUUCGGCAAUGGACGAAAGUCUGACCGAGCAACGCCGCGUGAGUG